GUACUGUACCACCUUCUAAAGCAUGGCCCACUUCAGGUACUGUACUGUCCCACCUGGACAGGUCUGACACCCUGUACCAAUACUUUAUAAAAUUAACCCUUCUUUCCUAACUUACUUGUUGAUCACUCAUCUGUAUGUGUUUUGAAGUAAAUUAACUCUGCUACACAGUAAGUUCCUGUGGGAGGGGUCUCAGAGUGGGUGUGUCCUUCAGUCAGGAAACAAAACUGGAAAGCUCUGCCUUCAUCAGGCCAGACGGGUCAGUGGUGCUUACCAUCCUCAACAGUGCUCCAGCUCACUCCCUGCUCACACUCGCUUGGAACACACUCUGACCGCACUGGAAUGGAACACACACCUUUAACUGCCAGGGCCAAAGCAUUGUCACAGUCCCCACUACCAGGUCUGCUACAUUUCCACCACUACACACUCAACUCCCACCACCAUCCGAAGCCCAAUGUGCUGCCUUCUCAGAACAGCAUAUCUAAUAGAUAACCUGCAGCAUCGGGGGCUCUGGCAUUUCUGGGAUCAGAGCUUGAAAUGUGUGUGUGGUUUAGCCAAUACAGCCAAAUAUGUUGCGUGUUCCUAUGUAUGCUGUGACUAUCUGCACUGAUCUUUAUCACGCUGGGAGAAGCUCUGGAAUGUGUGAAUAUAGCAUGUGAUCAAACCAGGACCAGGUACACUAACUACUAUGAUCAGACACUGCUGCUGUUUGAGACGGUCUGACCAUUACACUGCUAACAACCGUUUCUAAACUGAAAUCUGGUUUAGAAAAGAGAUCAUGUUCCGAAUCUAUUAAUGCCGUUUAAACCAUUUGCCUUUUGAAUAAAUGAUUUCUCUAUAACGUCGUCA
This is a long non-coding RNA of Oncorhynchus tshawytscha (Chinook salmon), 846 nucleotides long. RefSeq lists it as uncharacterized. The record is from RefSeq and is a predicted model, not a curated record. The transcript has 2 exons. NCBI's taxonomy places the organism in Eukaryota, Metazoa, Chordata, Actinopteri, Salmoniformes, Salmonidae.